This is a long non-coding RNA of Ictalurus punctatus (channel catfish), 800 nucleotides long. NCBI's taxonomy places the organism in Eukaryota, Metazoa, Chordata, Actinopteri, Siluriformes, Ictaluridae. The record is from Ensembl.
CUUGUAUACCUUGUCCCUUCCUCUCACUGUUGGCUUGGAAGCAAACUUGAUUGUAUUAUUGUAGUUACUCAUGCCUUUAAAUGUUUCUUUUUUGGGAAACAAUUUCCUUCCAUUCAUCGGAUGUGCUGCAUGCAGAUUUGUCCUGAUUUGGAUGUUGUGGCUGGGGAAACCAAAGAGGAAGGCAUAUCAUGCAAAUGUCACGUCAUCAGCUCGGGCCACCAGCCUAAAAUAUUGGAUGCAUUUUGCUUCCAGCUGUCUGGCAAAUGCUGCUCCGCUGACCCGAGAUCAUCCUGACUGUGCUGUUUUAGUGGUUACUCUGACUCCCAGGGGUCAACAGUGGAUCACUUUCUGCCCUCCAGCAGUGAGAGUAGGUGCUAAUGGUGAGUGAGAGGUGUCGUGUGAGUGUAGAAGACUGACCGUAAAUGCCCAGCACAAGGCUCACGUCUGGGUAAAUGCUUUGUCAGGGUAAGUAAUGCUACCCCACCCUGUCUCCCUUCUCUGCUGUCUAUCCCGCCCAUCAGUUGAGUCAUAACAUAUGUGCACACCCACACACACACACUUACACACCCACAUGCAUACACACGCACUAAGUGACAGUGCCAAUCAUGAUUCACAGGGCUGAGGGUUUGCACUAUAUGCUAGAUUAGCAUUGUGUUCUGGGAAGCCAGUAGACAUCCAUCCGAACAUACAGUUGGUGCUAAUUCCUAGUGACAUCAGCAUCAGUCGCAGGCACUCGCAAAAGCUUUCAAACAUUAUACACGGUCCCAAAUACACCAUGUACCAUUCAGUGUGGUUUAGGC